AUAUGCCUUUUGGUGGGGGACAACAGUUGGAAACGACUGCUAAUACCGCAUGAUGUCUACGGACCAAAGUGGGGGACCUUCGGGCCUCACGCCGAAAGAUUAGCCCAAGUGGGAUUAGCUAGUUGGUGAGGUAAUGGCUCACCAAGGCGACGAUCCCUAGCUGGUUUGAGAGGAUGAUCAGCCACACUGGGACUGAGACACGGCCCAGACUCCUACGGGAGGCAGCAGUGGGGAAUAUUGCACAAUGGGCGCAAGCCUGAUGCAGCCAUGCCGCGUGUGUGAAGAAGGCCUUCGGGUUGUAAAGCACUUUCAGUAAGGAGGAAAGGUUAAGUUUUAAUAGAGCUUAGCUGUGACGUUACUUACAGAAGAAGCACCGGCUAACUCCGUGCCAGCAGCCGCGGUAAUACGGAGGGUGCGAGCGUUAAUCGGAAUUACUGGGCGUAAAGCGUACGCAGGCGGUUUGUUAAGCGAGAUGUGAAAGCCCCGGGCUCAACCUGGGAACUGCAUUUCGAACUGGCAAACUAGAGUGUGAUAGAGGGUGGUAGAAUUUCAGGUGUAGCGGUGAAAUGCGUAGAGAUCUGAAGGAAUACCGAUGGCGAAGGCAGCCACCUGGGUCAACACUGACGCUCAUGUACGAAAGCGUGGGGAGCAAACAG
This 656-nucleotide ribosomal RNA is filed under the name uncultured bacterium. Its description in RNAcentral is "bacterial SSU rRNA". It matches the Rfam family "Bacterial small subunit ribosomal RNA", at positions 124 to 775 of the family's 1533-position model. The record is from RNAcentral.